RNA transcript from Diospyros lotus (date-plum), 1976 nucleotides. It is a transcript of the gene named AP-2 complex subunit mu, with no coding region annotated. The transcript is spliced from 14 exons. Lineage: Eukaryota; Viridiplantae; Streptophyta; Magnoliopsida; Ericales; Ebenaceae. The record is from RefSeq and is a predicted model, not a curated record.
AAAAUAUUCCUACUGAAAAGUCCUCUCUGGCCUUCUUUCUAGUCCUACAACAGAACAACAAUUCAACAUUUUCUUCGUAUUUAGUAGGUCCCUCAAAACCUAGAAUCGAAGACGAAAGCUCCUGAUCUGCAAUGCUCUGAAUCGCGAUCCAAACACCGGUCACGCUUGGCCUUGCAAUCUCGACCGCAAAAAGCCCUAGAUCUGACUCGAUCCGUCUCUGGUUGGUCUCCGCCGAUUUGCUUUCGGAAAUUGAAUCCGUCGGAUCGGUGAAAUGCCGGUGGCUGCUUCCGCCAUAUACUUCCUCAAUCUCCGCGGCGAUGUGCUUAUCAAUCGCCUCUACCGUGAUGACGUUGGGGGAAAUAUGGUUGAUGCCUUCCGAAUGCAUAUAAUGCAAACAAAAGAACUGGGAACAUGUCCUGUGCGGCAGAUUGGAGGGUGCUCUUUCUUGUACAUGCGAAUUAGCAAUGUCUAUAUUGUGAUCGUUGUCAGCAGCAAUGCUAAUGUUGCAUGUGCUUUCAAGUUUGUUGUGGAGGCUGUUGCACUGUUCAAAUCUUAUUUUGGCGGGGCCUUUGAUGAAGAUGCUAUCCGCAAUAACUUUGUUUUGAUCUAUGAGCUGUUGGAUGAGAUCAUGGACUUUGGUUAUCCCCAAAAUCUUUCUCCUGAAAUCCUGAAGCUUUAUAUCACUCAGGAAGGAGUACGGUCUCCAUUCUCUUCCAAGCCUGCAGAUAAACCAGUUCCCAAUGCAACUUUACAAGUUACAGGUGCUGUUGGCUGGCGUAGAGAGGGCCUUGUUUAUAAAAAGAAUGAAGUGUUUCUGGAUAUUGUGGAAAGUGUCAAUCUGCUUAUGUCAUCUAAAGGUAGUGUUUUGCGGUGUGAUGUAACUGGGAAAAUUCUUAUGAAGUGCUUCCUUUCUGGAAUGCCCGAUUUGAAGUUGGGUUUAAAUGAUAAAAUUGGUCUUGAGAAAGAGUCGCAAAUUAAAUCACGUCCUACUAAGAGUGGAAAGACUAUUGAGCUUGAUGAUGUUACUUUUCAUCAAUGUGUAAAUCUGACAAGAUUCAACUCAGAAAAGACUGUUAGUUUUGUGCCUCCUGAUGGUGAAUUUGAGUUGAUGAAGUAUCGUAUUACUGAGGGUGUAAAUCUACCAUUCCGGGUGUUGCCAACAAUUAAAGAACUCGGUCGGACACGGAUGGAAGUAAAUGUUAAGGUGAAGAGUGUCUUUGGUGCGAAAAUGUUUGCCCUUGGAGUUGUAGUUAAGAUUCCUGUACCAAAACAAACAGCGAAAACAAGUUUUCAAGUGACGUCUGGUAAAGCUAAGUACAAUGCUGCCAUUGAUUGCUUGGUCUGGAAGAUAAGGAAAUUUCCUGGACAAACUGAGACAACAUUGAGUGCAGAAGUAGAGUUGAUUUCCACGAUGACGGAGAAGAAGUCUUGGACCAGGCCACCAAUUCAGAUGGAAUUUCAGGAAAUUACAAGAAUUGUCCACACUAAGGGGCAUGGGAAGGUUCGACCCCACGGCCUCAUGUUUACCAUGAGGGGUGGAUCACCACCUGAGCCAUCCUUGGAGACUGCUUUAGAUGAAGUUUGACUACUGUUUGAGGUUCCAGAUGGGUAGACUCAUGCAUGGAGUGAGAGAUUGAUUUGUGUCUGUCUGUGUGCGUGCAUGGGUGGGGUGGUGUGCUUAUGCACUUGCACUUGCUUUUGAACCACUAAUCUCAAAGGUUGGUAGACCAAGUGGAUGCCACUUGGACUACUGGAAUUAUAAAGGAGCAUUAGAAUGGAUGCCAACUUCCCAAUUGUUUGUGUGCUGAUAAUGAUGACGAUGCGGUAUCCCCUAAAGGUUCCUAUGUUCACUGCAUCUGGAUUACGUGUCCGAUUUCUCAAGGUAUGGGAAAAGAGCGGGUACAAUACAGUCGAGUGGGUCCGUUACAUAACCAAAGCCGGGUCAUAUGAGGUUAGGUGCUAGGAAAAAUAAAUUG